This 253-nucleotide ribosomal RNA is filed under the name uncultured bacterium. Its description in RNAcentral is "partial 16S ribosomal RNA". It matches the Rfam family "Bacterial small subunit ribosomal RNA", at positions 524 to 776 of the family's 1533-position model. The record is from RNAcentral.
UACGGGGGGGGCAAGCGUUGUUCGGAAUUACUGGGCGUAAAGCGCACGUAGGCGGACUCUUAAGUCGGUGGUGAAAUCCUGGAGCUCAACUCCAGAACUGCCUUCGAUACUGGGAGUCUCGAGUCCGGGAGAGGUGAGUGGAACUGCGAGUGUAGAGGUGAAAUUCGUAGAUAUUCGCAAGAACACCAGUGGCGAAGGCGGCUCACUGGCCCGGUACUGACGCUGAGGUGCGAAAGCGUGGGGAGCAAACAGG